UACGGGGGGAGCAAGCGUUGUUCGGAUUUACUGGGCGUAAAGGGCGCGUAGGCGGUCGUGACAAGUCACUUGUGAAAUCUCCGGGCUUAACUCGGAACGGUCAAGUGAUACUGUCGGACUAGAGUACAGAAGGGGCAACUGGAAUUCUCGGUGUAGCGGUGAAAUGCGUAGAUAUCGAGAGGAACACCUGCGGCGAAGGUGGGUUGCUGGGCUGAUACUGACGCUGAGGCGCGAAAGCCAGGGGAGCGAACGGG
RNAcentral lists this ribosomal RNA (254 nucleotides) under uncultured bacterium. Its description in RNAcentral is "partial 16S ribosomal RNA". It matches the Rfam family "Bacterial small subunit ribosomal RNA", at positions 524 to 776 of the family's 1533-position model. The record is from RNAcentral.